AUUGAACGCUGGCGGCAGGCCUAACACAUGCAAGUCGAGCGAGCGGCCGACGGGGGAGUAAUGUAUGGGGACUGCCCGAUAGAGGGGGAUUACUACUGGAAACGGUGGCUAAUACCGCAUACUAUCGGAUAACCCAUAUGGGAUUAGCUAGUAGGUGGGGUAAAGGCUCACAUAGGCGACGAUCUCUAGCUGGUCUGAGAGGAAGAUCAGCCAAACUGGGACGGAGACACGGCCCCGAAACCUACGGAGGGAGCAGGGGGGAAUAGUGCACAAUUUGACCAAGCCUGAUGCAGCCAUGCCGCGUGUAUGAAGAAGGCCUUAGGGUUGUAAAGUACUUUCAGCGGGGAGGCGUUACCCGCAGAAGAAGCACCGGCUAACUCCGUGCCAGCAGCCGCAGUAAUUC
RNAcentral lists this ribosomal RNA (403 nucleotides) under uncultured bacterium. RNAcentral describes it as "partial 16S ribosomal RNA". It matches the Rfam family "Bacterial small subunit ribosomal RNA", at positions 30 to 526 of the family's 1533-position model. The record is from RNAcentral.